RNAcentral lists this ribosomal RNA (254 nucleotides) under uncultured bacterium. Its description in RNAcentral is "partial 16S ribosomal RNA". It matches the Rfam family "Bacterial small subunit ribosomal RNA", at positions 524 to 776 of the family's 1533-position model. The record is from RNAcentral.
UACGUAGGGUGCAAGCGUUGUCCGGAAUUAUUGGGCGUAAAGAGCUCGUAGGCGGUCUGUCACGUCGGCUGUGAAAACCCGAGGCUCAACCUCGGGCCUGCGAGCGAUACGGGCAGACUAGAGUUCGGUAGGGGAGACUGGAAUUCCUGGUGUAGCGGUGAAAUGCGUAGAUAUCAGGAGGAAUACCGAUGGCGAAGGCAGGUCUCUGGGCUGACACUGACGCUCAUGCACCGAAAGCGUGGGGAGCAAACAGG